GUUUGAUCCUGGCUCAGGACGAACGCUGGCGGCGUGCCUAAGACAUGCAAGUCGAGCGGGGCGGUCCCGCAAGGGGCUGCUCAGCGGCGGACGGGUGAGUAACACGUGGGUAACCUGCCCGCUGCAGGGGGAUAACAGCUCGAAAGGGCUGCUAAUACCCCAUAAGCUCACGGGGGCUGAGGCCUCUGGGAGAAAAGGGGCGCCGUAAAGGAGCCCUGGCAGCGGAGGGGCCCGCGGCCCAUCAGGUAGUUGGUGGGGUAACGGCCCACCAAGCCGACGACGGGUAGCCGGCCUGAGAGGGUGGGCGGCCACACUGGGACUGAGACACGGCCCAGACUCCUACGGGAGGCAGCAGUCGGGAAUCUUGCGCAAUGGGCGAAAGCCUGACGCAGCGACGCCGCGUGGGGGAAGAAGGCCUUCGGGUUGUAAACCCCUGUUGCCCCGGACGAAGGACCACAGGAGGAAAUGCCUGUGGGGUGACGGUACGGGGCGAGGAAGCCACGGCUAACUACGUGCCAGCAGCCGCGGUAAUACGUAGGUGGCGAGCGUUGUCCGGAAUGACUGGGCGUAAAGGGCGUGUAGGCGGUCCUGUAAGUCUGGGGUGAAAACCGGCGGCUCAACCGCCGGCCUGCCCUGGAAACUGCGGGGCUAGAGUGGGCUAGAGGGCAGCGGAAUUCCCGGUGUAGCGGUGAAAUGCGUAGAGAUCGGGAGGAACACCAGUGGCGAAGGCGGCUGCCUGGGGCCUAACUGACGCUGAGGCGCGAAAGCUGGGGGAGCAAACAGGAUUAGAUACCCUGGUAGUCCCAGCCGUAAACGAUGAGCGCUACGUGGGGGUGGGGUUACUCCUGCCGUGCGGAAGCCAACGCAUUAAGCGCUCCGCCUGGGGAGUACGGCCGCAAGGCUGAAACUCAAAGGAAUUGACGGGGGCCCGCACAAGCGGUGGAGCAUGGUGGUUUAAUUCGAAGCAACGCGUAGAACCUUACCUGGGCUUGACAUGCCGUGUACCCGCCGAAAGUGGGGAGCCCCUCUUCCGGAGGGAGGGCGGCACAGUGUGCAUGUGUCGUCAGCUCGUGUCGUGAGAUGUGGGUAGUCCGCAACGAGCGCCACCCUGCCCAUGUGCCAGCGGUGAUGCCGGACUCAUGGGGGACUGCCGGGACGAACCCGAAGAAAGUUG
RNAcentral lists this ribosomal RNA (1174 nucleotides) under uncultured bacterium. RNAcentral describes it as "bacterial SSU rRNA". It matches the Rfam family "Bacterial small subunit ribosomal RNA", at positions 11 to 1176 of the family's 1533-position model. The record is from RNAcentral.